Molecule: non-coding RNA, 87 nt
Organism: Lentinula aff. lateritia
Lineage: Eukaryota; Fungi; Basidiomycota; Agaricomycetes; Agaricales; Omphalotaceae
Source: the annotation of a GenBank genome assembly
GGGCACAUGGUGUAGUUGGUUAUCACAUCCGCUUAGCAUCACUUAUGAGCUUGCGGGGGGUGCUGGGUUCAAUUCCCAGUGUGUCCA